GCCCCCCUGGUCGAGUAUCACUUCGCCACACCACCUGACCACACUCGGUCGUUCACUCUACCACCUUACUCGACCCCCUGGUCGAGUAUCGUCACUCACCACCAACACCAUCACUCGACAAGACACUCGAUCACAUCUUCAUAGUCUACUCAAAUCUCUAUUCGAUUACCCCAUCCUUAGGAAUCUCUCGUCAAUCGGAUUUCUUUGUUUUAUCGUUACCGCUAAAUCGUUCUCAUUGCUUGUUUCUUCGUUUUUCCAAUUACUCGAUCAACUUACUCGACCACACCCAGUGUCUUGCAACAGACUGUGUAGUCGAGUACGGUUGUCUCAUAGACUGUUUGUUACAUGACCAGUAUACUCGACCACACCCAGUGUCUGGCAACAGACUGUGCAGUCGAGUAUAUCUGUUUCAUAUCAUGUAUGUUACUCGACCUGUUACUCGACCACAUCCUACUUCUGGCAUCAGCCUGUUGUGGUCGAGUGACUUUAGUAAUUCUGUUAUUAUUUCUGUUUUCUGCAUGUUUGCUUAGGAUUGUUAGAAACCCCAAAACUGUUAUUGCUUGGCUUGACUUAUUGACUUCUGAUCACAUCUCAUCUGUUUGCAUCACACCUAUUUGGAUUGACACCUAAAAUACUACAACGACAUGAUUGGUGUUUUAGGAUAAUUGACUAAAAACCUAUUAUCAUUUAACAUGGAAGCACUACUUUACUUUUCGGGAUCUUGUUGAGGUUUUAGUUUUAUAUUCAAUCAUACGAAUAACAUGUUGUCAUAUUUCACUCUGAAACGCUAACCAAAAUUUUUCUUGCUUCUUUAAGUAUUAUAGUAUAUUUGCUCCUAAACACUAAACCUAAACCCUACACCUUAAAUCCCAAACCCUAAAUCUAAUUCCUUAACCCUAAAACCUAAACCCUAAACCCUAAACCCUAAACCCUAACGCUAAACCUUAAACCCUAACUCUAAACCAUAAACCGUACACCCAAAACCUUAAAACA
This 993-nucleotide small RNA is filed under the name Arabidopsis thaliana (thale cress). Its description in RNAcentral is "ATSL039940". The record is from RNAcentral. Lineage: Eukaryota; Viridiplantae; Streptophyta; Magnoliopsida; Brassicales; Brassicaceae.